UUCUCUGACAUUUUUGAAAGAAAAUGAAGACUCUGGCGUAGUAGGUUAAGCCUCCACCUUUGGUGCUGACAUCCUGAAUGAGUGUUGGUUUGUAUCCCGGCUGCUCCCUGCUCAUGUUCCUGGGAAAGCAGUGGAAAAAUGGUGUUUGGGUGCCUGCACCCAUGUUGGAGACUCAGAUGAAGCUCCUGGCUUUGGAUCAAUCCAGCUCUGGCCGUUGAAAUCAUUUGCUUCCUGCUUGUCUCAGAGCAAGUGGCAGCACUGAGGAAGAAAAGCAGAGACGCCCGACCGCUUGCACUCCUCCAGGCGUCCUCCACCCGCCAGGUGGAAGGAAACGGAGUGCAGGUUUUGAACAGCAGGUAGCACACUCAGGUGCCUCUGACUCCAUGGCAGAACUCCUCGAAUGGUAGGUGGCAGAGUCCUAUGUUCAGUGUUUCAGACAUAGCAGAGAAGUAAAAGAAACAAGAGUACUGACCUAAGUACCUACUAAGGAAGAUGCAGCCAAGGACCGAUGUCCUGCCAUGUCUGCUCUGACAAAACACAUCCAU
This is a long non-coding RNA of Ochotona princeps (American pika), 545 nucleotides long. RefSeq lists it as uncharacterized. NCBI's taxonomy places the organism in Eukaryota, Metazoa, Chordata, Mammalia, Lagomorpha, Ochotonidae. The transcript is spliced from 3 exons. The record is from RefSeq and is a predicted model, not a curated record.